UUCUCGUAGGUUUCUUUCUCAAGCAGAGCAGUUUCCAUAAUUUUUUUCAAAUGGGAUCUGGGUUUUCAAAUUUUCUUCCUUUCAUAGUGUAGCUCUCCAUUUACACUGCGGAAGGAAGGAAAUUUGAAAACCUAAAAUCCCAUUUGACAAAAAAUAAUUAUGGAAACUGCUCUGCUUGAGAAAGAAAACGACCGAGAACCAAGAUAUCGCUCCUUACCUGAACAAUAAUGGUGCUCUCGUGAACAGAGCUAAAAGCAACGCGACCGACACAUAGAGAGAGAGAGAGAGAGAGAGAGAGAGAAAGAAAGAGGCAGGAGCUUAGCAGGGGAUUCAUAAGAUUUCUUUGGUUGAUGUGAAGAUACUAACCGGCGGUAGAAAAUUAUAUGUGCGGUCUGUAAAUUAUUUGUACCGUGUGGAAGGAUGCCCACCUGCCUCCUGCAGAGUAGAGGCCUCGCUUUCCCAUGUCUGGAUUCAGGCUCAUUGCUGAGUGGGAGAAUCCAGGACUCAUGCCGAGGGCACAAACGUUCUCCAUUUUUGAGUGCAGUCAUAGAUGAGAUGAGCAGCCGUCAUGGUUUGAUGAAUUAGUUGGUGAAUCUGAAAGGGGUCUCAGUGGAAGUCUCCAUCGACGCUCUUGUAGUGAUUCUGCUACAUUUUCAGAACCUCCAACAGCCCUUUCACUGUUAAAAUCAUUGCAGAGUGACAAAGCUUAUUCACAGAAAGUUGGAUGAGUUAGCAAAAGAAUGUCCCAGCUAUAACAGGUUGGAUAGAAAGGAAGAUGUCCCAUCUUCCUAUGCUCACAUACUAAUGAUGAAACACCAAAAACAGAAAUGAGACCUCUUCUGCUAUUUCAUCUGGUUGCGUAUAUGGCCCCCAUUUUCCUAGAUUGAAGCCUGAUAUUGAAAGUCCCAUUGUAUCUGAAGAAUACAGAGGUGAGAUCCCACUCUCAUUGUUGGCUGACUAGAACAUCUAUCGUUUUGCCUCCGAAAUUCCAUUUAUAAUGCAAAAGAAAGUUCUGGCGGCACUGCCACUAA
Molecule: long non-coding RNA, 1031 nt
Organism: Nymphaea colorata (pocket water lily)
Lineage: Eukaryota; Viridiplantae; Streptophyta; Magnoliopsida; Nymphaeales; Nymphaeaceae
Exons: 2
Source: RefSeq, a predicted model, not a curated record